Molecule: ribosomal RNA, 492 nt
Filed under: uncultured bacterium
Lineage: Bacteria
Description: partial 16S ribosomal RNA
Rfam family: Bacterial small subunit ribosomal RNA
Source: RNAcentral
AGUGAACGCUGGCGGUAGGCCUAACACAUGCAAGUCGAACGGCAGCACAGUAAGAGCUUGCUCUUACGGGUGGCGAGUGGCGGACGGGUGAGGAAUACAUCGGAAUCUACUUUUUCGUGGGGGAUAACGUAGGGAAACUUACUCUAAUACCGCAUACGACCUACGGGUGAAAGCAGGGGAUCUUCGGACCUUGCGCGGUUGAAUGAGCCGAUGUCGGGUUAGCUAGUUGGGGGGGUAAAGGCCCACCAAGGCGACGAUCCGUAGCUGGUCUGAGAGGAUGAUCAGCCACCCUGGAACUGAGCCACGCUCCAGACUCCUACGGGAGGCAGCAGUCGGGAAUAUUGGACAAUGGGCGCAAGCCUGAUCCAGCCAUACCGCGUGGGUGAAGAAGGCCUUCGGGUUGUAAAGCCCUUUUGUUGGGAAAGAAAAGCAGCAGGUUAAUACCCCGCUGUUCUGACGGUACCCAAAGAAUAAGCACCGGCUAACUUCGUG